AUUUGAUCGUUAAGGAAACAUAGCU
RNAcentral lists this small RNA (25 nucleotides) under Arabidopsis thaliana (thale cress). RNAcentral describes it as "ATSL087370". Lineage: Eukaryota; Viridiplantae; Streptophyta; Magnoliopsida; Brassicales; Brassicaceae. The record is from RNAcentral.